Molecule: small RNA, 45 nt
Filed under: Beta vulgaris subsp. vulgaris (sugar beet)
Lineage: Eukaryota; Viridiplantae; Streptophyta; Magnoliopsida; Caryophyllales; Amaranthaceae
Description: Acido-Lenti-1 RNA
Rfam family: Acido-Lenti-1 RNA
Source: Rfam by way of RNAcentral
CCCAGGACUUCGUCCUGGGCUGUCAUGGCGCGGCCUUUCAGGCCU